GAUGAACGCUGGCGGCGUGCUUAACACAUGCCAGUCGAACGGAAAGGCCCAAGCUUGCUUGGGUACUCGAGUGGCGAACGGGUGAGUAACACGUGGGUGAUCUGCCCUGCACUUCGGGAUAAGCCUGGGAAACUGGGUCUAAUACCGGAUAGGACCACUUCUUGGAUGUUGUGGUGGAAAGUUUUUUCGGUGUGGGAUGAGCUCGCGGCCUAUCAGCUUGUUGGUGGGGUAAUGGCCUACCAAGGCGUCGACGGGUAGCCGGCCUGAGAGGGUGUACGGCCACAGUGGGACUGAGAUACGGCCCAGACUCCUACGGGAGGCAGCAGGGGGGAAUAUUGCACAAUGGGCGCAAGCCUGAUGCAGCGACGCCGCGUGGGGGAUGACGGCCUUCGGGUUGUAAACUCCUUUCGCUAGGGACGAAGCGUUUUGUGACGGUACCUGGAGAAGAAGCACCGGCUAACUACGUG
RNAcentral lists this ribosomal RNA (467 nucleotides) under uncultured bacterium. RNAcentral's name for it is "partial 16S ribosomal RNA". It matches the Rfam family "Bacterial small subunit ribosomal RNA", at positions 28 to 507 of the family's 1533-position model. The record is from RNAcentral.